This 145-nucleotide long non-coding RNA is filed under the name Ictidomys tridecemlineatus (thirteen-lined ground squirrel). Its description in RNAcentral is "lncRNA (ENSSTOG00000033411.1)". Lineage: Eukaryota; Metazoa; Chordata; Mammalia; Rodentia; Sciuridae. The record is from RNAcentral.
GGGGGCACGAAGGGCUUGGGUUGGGGUUGAUAAAAAGAGCUAUGCCCUUCCAGCAUGGAGAUUAAUUUGAAGUGCUUUGAAGUCCCUUCACUGUGAAUAAACAGGUAAAAUGUUUUUCUCUAAAAUAAAAAUACAUGGCUUCAUA